ACUCAGCUCCGUUAUCCACUCCAGGAGUUAUCCGCUCCAGCACCCUGAUGCUCUCUCUGGGUUUCUGUUUGAGUCUGGUCUCCAGGCAACAGGGUAAAUCCAUCACCCCUCAUAGGGGGAGGGCUGCUGAUAGGUAACUAAUAUUAGUACAAUGUGCGGGCAGCAGGGUCCCCGUUCUUUCUGAGAUCUUGCUGUAAAGUAGCGCAAUUUCUCAGCGGCUAAAGCCAUCGGAAAUAUGUAUUUUCCUUUUCUGAUGGCUUUAGGUGACCCCUAUGUUUUGGUCAGUUGACCCCCGCCGGGGGGGGGGGGGCUGACCCACAGGUUGAGAACUGCUGUUCUAAAGAGUUUUGUGGUUGUUUUUAGCAGUAGAGGAGAAGAUCGUUAGAAGCUGGCCGUAAGUGAUAAUAACAAAUGAAUUCUGAGUAGAGUCAGGGCACAGAUUAGGAUCCAGGCUCUCAUACUUCUUAGUCAGGCCUCCCUGGAGCCCAGGAGGAGGGGAGUCCAGCUCGAGUGCCACAGCCUCUCCUGGGUCUCAACAUAAAGCUCAGUUCAGAGGCAUCCAGCUUCAUCGAGGGAAACAGGAGGGUGGCGAAUUCAAAGCCUCAGAAAACUGAGAAUGAAGUCAAUCAGAUUCCAGAGAUUUGUGAAGGAAAAGACAGGCUUCUUAUGGGUCAUGGAACGGAUUCCUUGAAAGCUGCUGGAGACACAUGCUAAGGACGAGAAUGAAAGGAUUAUCCUGAGUCCAGGAGUGGGAACCAGUGAACAUGCUGGAACUCUUUUGAUUCAAAAUGACGUACCAACAUUUGACUGGACAUUUGUCAGGGAGUGUUUAAGCCCUGGCUGUACCAAGCCCCACCAAAGGGGUUGAUCUUCCUAAGAUGCUGGCUCUAAGACAUGCUAGAAAUGAAAGUAAGUGAGAAAUUUGCUUUCUUAAAAUUAUAUUAAUGUGUUCGUUUUAUGUUGCACCCAUUUAUAGAUUCCCACUUUAUGAGACGUCUCUUGUAACAGAGUAAAAUUAAUGAUAUAGUGCCCUCCUCUGAAAACAUAUACAUUUCACACCUGUAGCUACCCCUCCCUUUUCUAUUUUUUAAUUAACAGAAAUCUAUUCUCUCUUCCUCCUACCCUUUUAUCACAGCAAAAGAAGAAAAAUAUCUUCUCAUAACAAAUAAGCAGUAUUAAAACAAAUUCC
Molecule: long non-coding RNA, 1189 nt
Filed under: Monodelphis domestica (gray short-tailed opossum)
Lineage: Eukaryota; Metazoa; Chordata; Mammalia; Didelphimorphia; Didelphidae
Description: lncRNA (ENSMODG00000045215.1)
Source: RNAcentral